CAAAUAAAUAGAUGCAUUUAGUAUGCUAAUACACCACCACUGGACAGUAGCCUCAUUCUAAGUUUGAGAAUUACCAUGCCUUUACAGGAAGAGGGCUAUUCUAAUGAAAUUAGUUUGCUAUUGCCUAAGAAAUUUCCUUCUUCCUUCCUGCUCCUCAAACUUCCCUGUCUACAGGUUUUGGUCAAGUCUGACUUCUGUUUGAAGUAGACCUUGAGCUAUGCAAUGGGCAAUUGUGGAUGUGCCUUAACAGGGCUCUGAGCCAUGAUGCCUGAGGCUUAAAUACAUAAAGGAAAAAAUUAGACUUACUUGCUGAACUUCCAAAUCUGAAAACAUCUGAAAAGAAGAGAUUGCCACUGGGGUUGGGGGUAUAGCUAGAGAAAUGAUGGUGUUUUUCUCCAGUAAAAUACAACAUCAAAAUAAAAAUCAGUUGA
Molecule: non-coding RNA, 431 nt
Organism: Podarcis lilfordi (Lilford's wall lizard)
Lineage: Eukaryota; Metazoa; Chordata; Lepidosauria; Squamata; Lacertidae
Source: the annotation of a GenBank genome assembly